Molecule: ribosomal RNA, 460 nt
Filed under: uncultured bacterium
Lineage: Bacteria
Description: partial 16S ribosomal RNA
Rfam family: Bacterial small subunit ribosomal RNA
Source: RNAcentral
UCUACGGGUGGCUGCAGUGAGGAAUAUUGGUCAAUGGACGCAAGUCUGAACCAGCCAUGCCGCGUGCAGGAAGACGGCUCUAUGAGUUGUAAACUGCUUUUGUACGAGGGUAAAUCCCGAUACGUGUAUCGGGUUGAAAGUAUCGUACGAAUAAGGAUCGGCUAACUCCGUGCCAGCAGCCGCGGUAACACGGAGGAUUCAAGCGUUAUCCGGAUUUAUUGGGUUUAAAGGGUGCGUAGGCGGUCGGAUAAGUUAGAGGUGAAAUCCCGAGGCUCAACUUCGGAAUUGCCUCUGAUACUGUUCGGCUAGAGAGUAGUUGCGGUAGGCGGAAUGUAUGGUGUAGCGGGGAAAUGCUUAGAGAUCAUACAGAACACCGAUUGCGAAGGCAGCUUACCAAGCUACUUCUGACGUUGAGGCACGAAAGCGUGGGGAGCAAACAGGAUUAGAUACCCUGGUAGUC